RNAcentral lists this long non-coding RNA (1247 nucleotides) under Equus caballus (horse). RNAcentral describes it as "lncRNA (ENSECAG00000048518.1)". The record is from RNAcentral. Lineage: Eukaryota; Metazoa; Chordata; Mammalia; Perissodactyla; Equidae.
GGGGGAGUGCAAUCUCAGGACAGCAAGAGAGCAGGGGAAACGGAAGUGAGACCAAAGAGGAGGGAAAACAAAUACAAGGACACAUCAGAUGUUUGCCUUCGCAUACCAUACAUUCUCAAAGCAUGCAGGACAUGGAGACUCACCCCAGGCGCAGCUGUCGCAAAGCUUCAUCCGGCUACAGCUUCUUUGACCCUUCUCUAUUACACAGGCUCAUCAUGGUCAAAGACUUCUCUCCCGCAUCACGGAACUUAGAACUUGAUUCUGAAUUCCCACUCUUUGUUUGCCAUUGUGGCACAAGCCUUCUCUCCACUAGCCCGAUGGUCUUCAAUGUGCUCUGACCCCCACAGUCCCCAAGAGUCCUGCUGAAAAUAAAUACAACCUGCCCUGUGUGUCUCCACCACAAGAGGAGCAGGCGGCAGGGCUGCACUAUCAACCGGAUCUCUUUGUUUUCUUCUUCUGUUUUGAAUCCACACCUAAAAUGGGACAAAAUCUACCAGCCAGAAUAACCUGAUUGAGAAAUCAGCCAUAACUGGUUUUCUUGGCUGUAGACUCUUCAGGAAAGAAUGUGAAGUAUUUUUCCCACAUCCUCCCAGGAGGGCCACCAGGGGCUCCAGUCCUGGAGGUCGAGGAGCAUUGGAGCUGGUUCUGCAGUUGGGGAGUGGGAGUAGCCUUACCUGUCGGACAGUGACUUCCAGUAUCUGAGAAGAGGGUGGGAGAUCAUGAGCGUCCACAAGUGGCAGAAGUUGAGAUCCAAAUGGAACACACACACCCUCCCACCUCCCAGGAUGGCAAAACCUGGUACAGAGAUGGCUGUAAGGAGGAGGCUGGAAGAAAGACCACUAAGUGGCCAGUUAUUGGGCAAAGCCACUGUGAGUGGGCAGCUCACCAGCCUGCCUGGAGAAGCAGUGCCCACAGACAGGAAGCACCAGCAUUCAGCAAGGAGCACAAGGAGCAACUGUAACUGUGGCCAUCUCUACUGAAUAAGGACCAGCUGCCCCAGUUCUACAAGAUCGAGUCCUUUGCUUGUUUGGGAGAUUUUUUGUGCCUUUUGUUUUUGUAAAAUCCAACGUUCCGAGGGAAGAAGCCCUAAUAAUGACAUUAAAUUUCUCACUAACUGUGGAUGGGACUUGGGACCAGAUUUAAAUAAACUUGGACAAAUAAAGAACAUUGGCAUUUUGUUUCCCAUCAAGUGUCUUGGAGCUAUUCAUUCCUCACUUACAUGUGACACCAUGAGGGACAUUCAUGUG